Molecule: ribosomal RNA, 747 nt
Filed under: uncultured bacterium
Lineage: Bacteria
Description: bacterial SSU rRNA
Rfam family: Bacterial small subunit ribosomal RNA
Source: RNAcentral
UAGAGUUUGAUUAUGGCUCAGGACGAACGCUGGCGGCGUGCCUAACACAUGCAAGUCGAACGAAGCUUGACGAAUGAUUUCUUCGGAAUGAAAUCUGAUAUGACUGAGUGGCGGACGGGUGAGUAACGCGUGAGCAACCUGCCCUUCGGAGGGGGAUAGUGUCUGGAAACGGACAGUAAUACCGCAUAACGUAUUUUUACCGCAUGAUAGAAAUACCAAAACUGAGGUGCCGAAGGAUGGGCUCGCGUUGGAUUAGAUAGUUGGUGGGGUAACGGCCUACCAAGUCGACGAUCCAUAGCCGGACUGAGAGGUUGAACGGCCACAUUGGGACUGAGACACGGCCCAGACUCCUACGGGAGGCAGCAGUGGGGAAUAUUGCACAAUGGGGGAAACCCUGAUGCAGCAACGCCGCGUGAAGGAAGACGGUUUUCGGAUUGUAAACUUCUGUUCUUAGUGAAGAAGAAUGACGGUAGCUAAGGAGCAAGCCACGGCUAACUACGUGCCAGCAGCCGCGGUAAUACGUAGGUGGCAAGCGUUGUCCGGAAUUACUGGGUGUAAAGGGAGCGCAGGCGGGAAGCCAAGUCAGCUGUGAAAACUACGGGCUUAACUUGUAGACUGCAGUUGAAACUGGUUUUCUUGAGUGAAGUAAAAGUUGGCGGAAAUCCCAGUGUAACGGUGAAAUGCGUUAAAAUUCGGAAGAAAACCGGUGGCGAAAGGCGGCCCCUGGGGCUUUACUGACCCCUGAGG